CUCCUACGGGAGGCAGCAGUCGGGAAUAUUGCGCAAUGGAGGAAACUCUGACGCAGUGACGCCGCGUAUAGGAAGAAGGUUUUCGGAUUGUAAACUAUUGUCGUUAGGGAAGAGAAAGGACAGUACCUAAGGAGGAAGCUCCGGCUAACUACGUGCCAGCAGCCGCGGUAAUACGUAGGGAGCGAGCGUUAUCCGGAAUUAUUGGGUGUAAAGGGUGCGUAGACGGGAAGAUAAGUUAGUUGUGAAAUCCCUCGGCUUAACUGAGGAACUGCAACUAAAACUGUUUUUCUUGAGUGCAGGAGAGGUAAGUGGAAUUCCUAGUGUAGCGGUGAAAUGCGUAGAUAUUAGGAGGAACACCAGUGGCGAAGGCGACUUACUGGACUGUAACUGACGUUGAGGCACGAAAGUGUGGGGAGCAAACAGGAUUAGAUACCCUGGUAGUCCACGCGGUAAACGAUGAUUACUAGGUGUCGGGGGUUUAU
Molecule: ribosomal RNA, 482 nt
Filed under: uncultured bacterium
Lineage: Bacteria
Description: bacterial SSU rRNA
Rfam family: Bacterial small subunit ribosomal RNA
Source: RNAcentral